This 282-nucleotide ribosomal RNA is filed under the name uncultured bacterium. RNAcentral's name for it is "partial 16S ribosomal RNA". It matches the Rfam family "Bacterial small subunit ribosomal RNA", at positions 524 to 794 of the family's 1533-position model. The record is from RNAcentral.
UACGGAGGGUCCAAGCGCUAAUCGGAAUUACUGGGCGUAAAGCGUGCGCAGGCGGUUUGUUAAGCGAGAUGUGAAAGCCCCCGGGCGUCAACCUGGGAAGUUGCAUUUCGUAACUGGCAAACUAAGAGUCUUGUAGAGGGGGUAGGAAUUCCAGGUGUAGCGGUGGAAAUAGCGUAGAGAUCUGGAGGAAUACCGGUGGCGAAGGCGGCCCCCUCGGACAAAGAACUGACGCUCAGGCACGAAAGACGUGGGGAGGCAAACAGGAUUAGAUACCCGUGUAGU